RNAcentral lists this long non-coding RNA (412 nucleotides) under Rattus norvegicus (Norway rat). RNAcentral's name for it is "long non-coding RNA NONRATT033538". The record is from RNAcentral. Lineage: Eukaryota; Metazoa; Chordata; Mammalia; Rodentia; Muridae.
UAGUUGAGAAGGAAGGUAUAAGAAGCUGGUUGAUGUUGUAUAGAUGAGAACUGUCUUCCACAGGCUUGGGCAUUUGAACACUUCACCCAUUUUUGGUGGCUCUGAUAGAACAGAUUUAGGUAUAGCCUUGCUAUAAUAAGGCAUAUGUCAGUAUGGGAGGACUUUGAGAGUACAUCACCCACCUCACUGUUCUCUUUCUCUGCUUCAUGUUUACAGUUCAGGAUGUGAGAUAUCAACCUCCAGCCUCUUGCAGCCAUAUCUGCUACUUACUGUUAUUGCUCCUGCCCUGAUAGAGGUUCCCUCUGGAAUCAUGAGAUCAAAUGAACUCUUUAUUCUGGUCAACUUAGAGAAGCUUUACCAAGGGCUGAGAUUUCUAGUGAUAACUGUGGCUACUUCAGUGAAGGAAGCUGAC